UACGAAGGGGGCUAGCGUUGUCCGGAAUUAUUGGGCGUAAAGCGCGUGUAGGCGGCUCGAUAAGUCUGCUGUGAAAGUCCAAGGCUCAACCUUGGAAAGCCGGUGGAUACUGUCGAGCUCGAGUCCGGAAGAGGCGAGUGGAAUUCCUGGUGUAGCGGUGAAAUGCGCAGAUAUCAGGAGGAACACCUGUGGUGUAGACAGCUUACUGGACCACUUCUGACGCUGAGACACGAAAGCGUGGGUAGCAAACAGG
RNAcentral lists this ribosomal RNA (253 nucleotides) under uncultured bacterium. Its description in RNAcentral is "partial 16S ribosomal RNA". It matches the Rfam family "Bacterial small subunit ribosomal RNA", at positions 524 to 776 of the family's 1533-position model. The record is from RNAcentral.